GACGAACGCUGGCGGCGUGCCUAAUACAUGCAAGUUGAGCGCUGAAGGUUGGUACUUGUACCAACUGGAUGAGCAGCGAACGGGUGAGUAACGCGUGGGGAAUCUGCCUUUGAGCGGGGGACAACAUUUGGAAACGAAUGCUAAUACCGCAUAAAAACUUUAAACACAAGUUUUAAGUUUGAAAGAUGCAAUUGCAUCACUCAAAGAUGAUCCCGCGUUGUAUUAGCUAGUUGGUGAGGUAAAGGCUCACCAAGGCGAUGAUACAUAGCCGACCUGAGAGGGUGGUCGGCCACAUUGGGACUGAGACACGGCCCAAACUCCUGCGGGAGGCAGCAGUAGGGAAUCUUCGGCAAUGGACGAAAGUCUGACCGAGCAACGCCGCGUGAGUGGAGAAGGUUUUCGGGUCGUAAAACUCUGUUGGUAGGGAAGAACGUUGGUGAGAGUGGAAAGCUCAUCAAGUGACGGUAACUACCCAGAAAGGGACGGCUAACUACGUG
This 497-nucleotide ribosomal RNA is filed under the name uncultured bacterium. RNAcentral's name for it is "partial 16S ribosomal RNA". It matches the Rfam family "Bacterial small subunit ribosomal RNA", at positions 28 to 507 of the family's 1533-position model. The record is from RNAcentral.